UAUUCAUUCCAAGCAAUUGUUCAGAAAAGUUGUGAAAUUACCCUACAAAGACGGAGUAGUAUUGAUACCAUUUUUGCAUGACAAAACUGAAUAAAGUAUGUAAGAUAUUUAAAUUAUUUUUGCCUUUGCUGUCUUGUCAUCUGCUUAAAAAAAUUAUUUUGAUAAUAUGAAUACAGUAUCUCUAAUGUCUCCUUUUUCAUACUGAACUUUUGAGUCUUAUAUUCUGGAUAUUCUGGCCUCAAUUUUUUUUUUUUUUUUCAUGUGUGCUACAUCUACUCCCUCCUGUUCUCAUUUCACAUCUUUAUUCCCUCCUGUUCUCAUUUCACAUCUAAAGAUGGCUGUAACACCUAGUGGAAGUCUUUAUACGAGAAGAUAAUCAUCAAUGGAUGUGGAAACGAGCAGUCUGGCUUGAGGGAAAACGAGAAGAGGAGCAUACUGUACCAUGUAGCUGGAUCGAUGAGGAAGAGCAAGUCUUAUAUUGGCCUCAAGGUGUAAAUGCAGAGAAGGCAUUGAGGUCUCAACAACACCCGGACUUAAAAUCUUGGAGGAAAUUCCGUUUGGUUAAAGUGAAAAUAUCAUCAGAUAGUUACCAAGACUGUGAAGAUUACCUGCACACAUCUACAGUUGAGGAUACUCUGAGCAGUGCUGACUCUGAUGGUGAUAGUAAUGGUGUAUCAAGGAUCAAGAGAAAACGUCCUAAGAAGAUCCUUCCAGAUGGCUUUGUCAGUAGCCAGGAUAUGCGUGUGUUGCAGGAAGUUACUCCAGCCAAGACAAAGAAAGGGAUUUCACCUCUGAACAAGGUUCCAGAUCCUCCUCAAAAGCUGCCUUCACUACCAAAUGGGGCCACACCAUCACCUCAGUCUCAAACGUCAUCUACCAGAAGCAGAAGUGUAACUUCUACUUCAUUUCUAAGAAGGUCAAGUUCUUCUGAUUGUGAUUGGGAUGUGGAUGAACAACGUUCUCCAAUGUCUGGAUCUAGCCAAGAUUAUUACAAGUCUUGCAACCCUGGCCAUACCAAGAAACUUAAGAAUGACAGCCAUAACAGCCUGGAC
Long non-coding RNA from Eriocheir sinensis (Chinese mitten crab), 1052 nucleotides. RefSeq lists it as uncharacterized. The transcript is spliced from 5 exons. The record is from RefSeq and is a predicted model, not a curated record. Lineage: Eukaryota; Metazoa; Arthropoda; Malacostraca; Decapoda; Varunidae.